This 375-nucleotide ribosomal RNA is filed under the name uncultured Rhizophydium. Its description in RNAcentral is "SSU rRNA". It matches the Rfam family "Eukaryotic small subunit ribosomal RNA", at positions 585 to 972 of the family's 1831-position model. The record is from RNAcentral. Lineage: Eukaryota; Fungi; Chytridiomycota; Chytridiomycetes; Rhizophydiales; Rhizophydiaceae.
CCAGCUCCAAUAGCGUAUAUUAAAGUUGUUGCAGUUAAAAAGCUCGUAGUUGAACUUCUGGGCCGGCUUGAGGUCUUUCUUUGACUGAACUGACGGCCGGUCCUUUCCUUCUGGCUAACUAGGUGCUAUUUAUUUAGUGCUUAGAGAUCCAGGACUUUUACUUUGAAAAAAUUAGAGUGUUUAAAGCAGGCUUACGCUUGAAUACAUUAGCAUGGAAUAAUAAAAUAGGACUUUGGUUUUAUUUUGUUGGUUUCUAAGACCGAAGUAAUGAUUAAUAGGGUCAGUUGGGGGCAUUAGUAUUCAAUCGUCAGAGGUGAAAUUCUUGGAUUGAUUGAAGACUAACUACUGCGAAAGCAUUUGCCAAGGAUGUUUUCA